Molecule: ribosomal RNA, 255 nt
Filed under: uncultured bacterium
Lineage: Bacteria
Description: partial 16S ribosomal RNA
Rfam family: Bacterial small subunit ribosomal RNA
Source: RNAcentral
UACGGAGGGGACUAGCGUUGUUCGGAAUUACUGGGCGUAAAGCGCACGUAGGCGGAUUUGUAAGUCAGGGGUGAAAUCCCGGGGCUCAACCUCGGAACUGCCUUUGAUACUGCAAAUCUCGAGUCCGGAAGAGGUGAGUGGAAUUCCUAGUGUAGAGGUGAAAUUCGUAGAUAUUAGGAAGAACACCAGUGGCGAAGGCGGCUCACUGGUCCGGUACUGACGCUGAGACGCGAAAGCGUGGGGAGCGAACGAGGA